This 253-nucleotide ribosomal RNA is filed under the name uncultured bacterium. RNAcentral describes it as "partial 16S ribosomal RNA". It matches the Rfam family "Bacterial small subunit ribosomal RNA", at positions 524 to 776 of the family's 1533-position model. The record is from RNAcentral.
UACGUAGGGACCAAGCGUUGUUCGGAUUUACUGGGCGUAAAGGGCGCGUAGGCGGCGCGGUAAGUCACUUGUGAAAUCUCUGAGCUUAACUCAGAACGGCCAAGUGAUACUGCAGUGCUAGAGUGUGGAAGGGGCUACUGGAAUUCUCGGUGUAGCGGUGAAAUGCGUAGAUAUCGAGAGGAACACCUGCGGCGAAGGCGGGUAGCUGGGCCGACACUGACGCUGAGGCGCGAAAGCCAGGGGAGCGAACGGG